CACCAACCGAAGAGUACACAGGGAACAACCAAUGGCCCCAGCAGCACAUAUAGCAGAGGACGGCUUUGUCGGGCAUUAAUGGGAGGAGAUGCCAGUGCUCGAUGCCCCCAUGUAGGAGAAUGUCAGGGAAGAGAGGUCUAUUGUGUUAACAUUUUCUCCAUGAUUGAGGAAGAAGGUAAACAACUCGAAAUAGCUUUGGAAAGUUCUGGAAACCAAGCAGGUUCACCAGGCCCUGCUCUGCCCCAGUAAGCAAUAUGAGCUGAGAAUUCCUCUCACGUGAGAGGGAACUGAGCCAUCAAGAAAACUUUCAGAGGAGAAAGCUGCAGAGACCCAGAGACCAGACAGCUGCCUAGAAGAAGCAGAGCCUUCCAAGCCGCCUGAGAAAGACUUAGACCAGAGCUACUUGAAAAGGACAGGUCCAAUAAAGCUCCUUGGUUCACC
This 441-nucleotide long non-coding RNA is filed under the name Rattus norvegicus (Norway rat). RNAcentral describes it as "long non-coding RNA NONRATT011186". Lineage: Eukaryota; Metazoa; Chordata; Mammalia; Rodentia; Muridae. The record is from RNAcentral.